Molecule: ribosomal RNA, 492 nt
Filed under: Lodderomyces parapsilosis
Lineage: Eukaryota; Fungi; Ascomycota; Pichiomycetes; Serinales; Debaryomycetaceae
Description: eukaryotic LSU rRNA
Rfam family: 5.8S ribosomal RNA (bases 152-305)
Source: RNAcentral
AUUGCUCGAUGAAGUGCUUACUGCAUUUUUUCUUACACAUGUGUUUUUCUUUUUUUGAAAACUUUGCUUUGGUAGGCCUUCUAUAUGGGGCCUGCCAGAGAUUAAACUCAACCAAAUUUUAUUUAAUGUCAACCGAUUAUUUAAUAGUCAAAACUUUCAACAACGGAUCUCUUGGUUCUCGCAUCGAUGAAGAACGCAGCGAAAUGCGAUAAGUAAUAUGAAUUGCAGAUAUUCGUGAAUCAUCGAAUCUUUGAACGCACAUUGCGCCCUUUGGUAUUCCAAAGGGCAUGCCUGUUUGAGCGUCAUUUCUCCCUCAAACCCUCGGGUUUGGUGUUGAGCGAUACGCUGGGUUUGCUUGAAAGAAAGGCGGAGUAUAAACUAAUGGAUAGGUUUUUUCCACUCAUUGGUACAAACUCCAAAACUUCUUCCAAAUUCGACCUCAAAUCAGGUAGGACUACCCGCUGAACUUAAGCAUAUCAAUAAGCGGAGGAA